GACGAACGCUGGCGGCGUGCUUAACACAUGCAAGUCGAACGGUGAAGCGCCUUCCUUUUUGGUGGGUGUGGAUGUGUGGCGAACGGGUGAGUAACACGUGAGUAACCUGCCCCCUUCUUCUGGAUAACCGCAUGAAAGUGUGGCUAAUACGGGAUAUUCUGGGUCUGUCGCAUGAUGGGUCUGGGAAAGAUAUUGUUUCGGUGGGGGAUGGGCUCGCGGCCUAUCAGCUUGUUGGUGGGGUGAUGGCCUACCAAGGCGGUGACGGGUAGCCGGCCUGAGAGGGUGGACGGUCACACUGGGACUGAGACACGGCCCAGACUCCUACGGGAGGCAGCAGUGGGGAAUAUUGCACAAUGGGCGCAAGCCUGAUGCAGCGACGCCGCGUGAGGGAUGGAGGCCUUCGGGUUGUGAACCUCUUUCGCCAGUGAAGCAGGCCUGCCUCGUUUGUGGGUGGGUUGACGGUAGCUGGAUAAGAAGCGCCGGCUAACUACGUG
This 494-nucleotide ribosomal RNA is filed under the name uncultured bacterium. RNAcentral describes it as "partial 16S ribosomal RNA". It matches the Rfam family "Bacterial small subunit ribosomal RNA", at positions 28 to 507 of the family's 1533-position model. The record is from RNAcentral.